AUUACGUUUCAUUUCUUAAGUUGCAAAUUGUAUGCUUGUUGGACUAUGAAAGGUGUAUUGUGAUAACUAAACCAUUCUUGUGGAUGAAGAUGGUUUUUGGAAAAGGAUAUUGUCGGCAAGAUGAAAAAGACGUAACCCAGAGGACAUCACAAGGAUCUGUCAUAUGUAAUGUUGUUAGGAUUGGAACUCAUCUAUAAAGAGUGUGACAUACAUGGUCACAAAUUUCCUUUAUCUAUUGAGAAGACUUUUUGCGGGAAUACUAUUUUACCUACACGUAAUUGAUUUGUAUUUAAGAAUCGGAAAUCGAACCAGUGACCUCCAUGUUGGUUGCAAAGCGAGCGCCCUAACCACCAGGCGCAGGCUAUCGCAACCAGUUUAUACGAUUUGUAGAAAAUGAGAAGAAUUCUGAUGAAUUUGAAUGAUUUUGCAUAUUAUUAAAUGAUUUAGAGAUAAAAAUAUGUACAUCUGAUAGACAUUUGAUUUAGGUAUCAAACAUGAUAUGAUUGUUUUAGUAAUGGUGCCAAAAAUCUACAGGUAAGUGAAGAUGUUGAAUAGUUAUUAUAUUGAAUGCAAGUAGUACACCGAAAAGAAAAUAUUUUUCUCAUAGAUAAUGUCAAGACGUAUGUGAAAAAAAAAUCAAAUUGGCGAUUCCGUUUGCAUGGAUUUUAUUCCCAUGAAGACAACAAUAUUGGAACCAUUCUCCAAACAAGUUCAACAUCAUUUAAAAUAUUUCAUCAAAGACUCUAUUAAAUAGUUUUUGUUUGUAUUUUUGUAUUUGUUGAAAUUUACAAGUGGGCUACAAAGUACAUUGUACUAAAGUAUCUUCAUCUAAUUUCAGUUUAGGUCCUUGUACUCACGGGAAAGGAGGUGCAUUGCUUCUUUGAAUUAAAUUUUUUACAAAUACAUA
Molecule: long non-coding RNA, 907 nt
Organism: Ostrea edulis (European flat oyster)
Lineage: Eukaryota; Metazoa; Mollusca; Bivalvia; Ostreida; Ostreidae
Exons: 2
Source: RefSeq, a predicted model, not a curated record